This 472-nucleotide ribosomal RNA is filed under the name uncultured bacterium. Its description in RNAcentral is "partial 16S ribosomal RNA". It matches the Rfam family "Bacterial small subunit ribosomal RNA", at positions 28 to 507 of the family's 1533-position model. The record is from RNAcentral.
GACGAACGCUGGCGGCGUGCUUAACACAUGCAAGUCGAACGCUGAAGCUUGGUGCUUGCACUGGGUGGAUGAGUGGCGAACGGGUGGGUAAUACGUGAGUAACCUGCCCUUGACUCUGGGAUAAGCCUGGGAAACUGGGUCUAAUACUGGAUACGACAUGUCACCGCAUGGUGGUGUGUGGAAAGGGUUUUACUGGUUUUGGAUGGGCUCACGGCCUAUCAGCUUGCUGGUGGGGUAAUGGCUCACCAAGGCGACGACGGGUAGCCGGCCUGAGAGGGUGACCGGCCACACUGGGACUGAGACACGGCCCAGACUCCUACGGGAGGCAGCAGUGGGGAAUAUUGCACAAUGGGCGGAAGCCUGAUGCAGCGACGCCGCGUGAGGGAUGACGGCCUUCGGGUUGUAAACCUCUUUCAGCACGGAAGAAGCGAAAGUGACGGUACGUGCAGAAGAAGCGCCGGCUAACUACGUG